UGAUGUAUGAUACAGGAGUGCUAUCCAGGCUUUUCCAUCUUUUUUUCCAGAUACAUUUUCUUGUAGGUUUGAAACAUCUGUUUGGAGUCUUUGAUUGGAAUGUGAAGAGCCUGUUCAUCUCCUUCCAGUAUUUGUAUGGCUGUAUCAAGUGGAAUACAGUCCUCAGCUGUAAAGAUCUCCUUCAACUUUUUUUGCUUCACUGAAUCAUACUUUAACCAAUCUUCUUUUUUACUCUUG
This 237-nucleotide long non-coding RNA is filed under the name Gallus gallus (chicken). Lineage: Eukaryota; Metazoa; Chordata; Aves; Galliformes; Phasianidae. The record is from RNAcentral.